This 72-nucleotide transfer RNA is filed under the name Camelus bactrianus (Bactrian camel). It matches the Rfam family "tRNA". From Rfam's summary of the family: Transfer RNA (tRNA) molecules are approximately 80 nucleotides in length. Their secondary structure includes four short double-helical elements and three loops (D, anti-codon, and T loops). The record is from Rfam by way of RNAcentral. RNAcentral also lists the same sequence under 2 other names. Lineage: Eukaryota; Metazoa; Chordata; Mammalia; Artiodactyla; Camelidae.
GAAGGUAUAGCUCAGUGGUAGAGCACGUGCUUAGCAUGCACAAGGUCCUGGGUUCAAUCCCCAGUGCCUCCA